Molecule: long non-coding RNA, 353 nt
Filed under: Bos mutus (wild yak)
Lineage: Eukaryota; Metazoa; Chordata; Mammalia; Artiodactyla; Bovidae
Description: lncRNA (ENSBMUG00000021853.1)
Source: RNAcentral
CCACUGUGAAGGACAGAUUGUCAUUUCUAUCUCCACCAGAGAUAGGUGUGUAGGGCUAAAAGCUGAGAACGCCAAAGACUUCUUCUGCAGUUCCUCUCUCUGUGCCUUGGAUGACCCUCCCAGCUACAAAUUCUAGGCAGUCUGUUCUGCUCGGGCACGUGUUACUUUGUUCUCAAGCCCAUCACACCAUGCAGACAUCACCACAAGGCCCACCAUCUCCUUCUGGAGACUAGCACAUCCUUCAGGGAGCUGGAACCAGUUGUGAAUUGAAGGAUGCCAAGCAUCUGCUGAACAGCAAGAAAACAAUCAAACUGGUGAAAAUUGCAGCUUGACAUGGCACAGGGAGAGGACCA